This 1109-nucleotide ribosomal RNA is filed under the name uncultured bacterium. Its description in RNAcentral is "SSU rRNA". It matches the Rfam family "Bacterial small subunit ribosomal RNA", at positions 362 to 1482 of the family's 1533-position model. The record is from RNAcentral.
UAUUGGUCAAUGGUCGAGAGACUGAACCAGCCAAGUCGCGUGAAGGAAGACGGUACUAAGUAUUGUAAACUUCCUUUGAAUGGGGAUAACAUAGGGGACGAGUCCUUUCUUGCAGGUACCAUUCGAAUAAGCAUCGGCUAACUCCGUGCCAGCAGCCGCGGUAAUACGGAGGAUGCGAGCGUUAUCCGGAUUUAUUGGGUUUAAAGGGAGCGUAGGUUGUUUGAUAGGUCAGUGGUUAAAUCCCGGUGCUUAACAUCGGUUCGCCAUUGAAACUGUCAGACUUGAGUAUGGACGAGGUACGUGGAAUUCGUAGAGUAGCGGUGAAAUGCAUAGAUAUUACGAAGAACCCCGAUAGCGUAGGCAACGUACCAGGCCAUCACUGACACUGAUGCUCGAAAGUGUGGGUAUCAAACAGGAUUAGAUACCCUGGUAGUCCACACAGUAAACGAUGAAUACUCGCUGUAUGCGAUACACAGUAUGCGGCCAAGCGAAAGCGAUAAGUAUUCCACCUGGGGAGUACGCCGGCAACGGUGAAACUCAAAGGAAUUGACGGGGGCCCGCACAAGCAGAGGAACAUGUGGUUUAAUUCGAUGAUACGCGAGGAACCUUACCCGGGCUCGAACGGUGUUUGAAAGAGUGUGAAAGCAUUCCGCUAGCAAUAGCAGACAUCGAGGUGCUGCAUGGUUGUCGUCAGCUCGUGCCGUGAGGUGUCGGCUUAAGUGCCAUAACGAGCGCAACCCUUAUCUUUAGUUACCAUCAGGUUAAGCUGGGGACUCUAGAGAGACUGCCGCCGUAAGGUGAGAGGAAGGUGGGGAUGACGUCAAAUCAGCACGGCCCUUACGUCCGGGGCUACACACGUGUUACAAUGGGUGGGACAGAGAGUUGCUUAGUGGUAACACUUGGCUAAUCCCUAAACCCACUCCCAGUUCGGAUUGGAGUCUGCAACCCGACUCUAUGAAGCUGGAUUCGCUAGUAAUCGCGCAUCAGCCAUGGCGCGGUGAAUACGUUCCCGGGCCUUGUACACACCGCCCGUCAAGCCAUGGAAGCCGGGGGUACCUGAAGUACGUAACCGCAAGGAUCGUCCUAGGGUAAAACUGGUAACUGGGGCU